AUUGAACGCUGGCGGAAUGCUUUACACAUGCAAGUCGAACGGCAGCACGGGGGCAACCCUGGUGGCGAGUGGCGAACGGGUGAGUAAUACAUCGGAACGUGCCCAGUCGUGGGGGAUAACGUAGUGAAAAUUACGCUAAUACCGCAUACGAUCUAUGGAUGAAAGCGGGGGAUCGCAAGACCUCGCGCGAUUGGAGCGGCCGAUAUCAGAUUAGGUAGUUGGUGGGGUAAAGGCCCACCAAGCCAACGACCUGUAGCUGGUCUGAGAGGACGACCAGCCACACUGGAACUGAGACACGGUCCAGACUCCUACGGGAGGCAGCAGUGGGGAAUUUUGGACAAUGGGCGAAAGCCUGAUCCAGCCAUUCCGCGUGCAGGAUGAAGGCCCUCGGGUUGUAAACUGCUUUUGUACAGGACGAAAAGGUUUCUACUAAUACUAGGAGCUCAUGACGGUACUGUAAGAAUAAGCACCGGCUAACUACGUGCCAGCAGCCGCAGUAA
This 500-nucleotide ribosomal RNA is filed under the name uncultured bacterium. Its description in RNAcentral is "partial 16S ribosomal RNA". It matches the Rfam family "Bacterial small subunit ribosomal RNA", at positions 30 to 523 of the family's 1533-position model. The record is from RNAcentral.